GCUUCCGUAGCCCAAUCGGCAGAGGCUAUCGUUUCAAAAACGAUAUGUUAUGGGUUCGAGUCCCAUGGGAAGCACCA
RNAcentral lists this transfer RNA (77 nucleotides) under Oribacterium sp. Its description in RNAcentral is "tRNA-Leu". It matches the Rfam family "tRNA". Rfam says of the family: Transfer RNA (tRNA) molecules are approximately 80 nucleotides in length. Their secondary structure includes four short double-helical elements and three loops (D, anti-codon, and T loops). Lineage: Bacteria; Bacillati; Bacillota; Clostridia; Lachnospirales; Lachnospiraceae. The record is from RNAcentral.